Molecule: ribosomal RNA, 547 nt
Filed under: uncultured bacterium
Lineage: Bacteria
Description: bacterial SSU rRNA
Rfam family: Bacterial small subunit ribosomal RNA
Source: RNAcentral
UGGGGAAUAUUGGACAAUGGGCGCAAGCCUGAUCCAGCCAUGCCGCGUGGGUGAAGAAGGCCUUCGGGUUGUAAAGCCCUUUUGUUGGGAAAGAAAAGCAGUCGGUUAAUACCCGAUUGUUCUGACGGUACCCAAAGAAUAAGCACCGGCUAACUUCGUGCCAGCAGCCGCGGUAAUACGAAGGGUGCAAGCGUUACUCGGAAUUACUGGGCGUAAAGCGUGCGUAGGUGGUGGUUUAAGUCUGUUGUGAAAGCCCUGGGCUCAACCUGGGAAUUGCAGUGGAUACUGGGUCACUAGAGUGUGGUAGAGGGUAGCGGAAUUCCCGGUGUAGCAGUGAAAUGCGUAGAGAUCGGGAGGAACAUCCGUGGCGAAGGCGGCUACCUGGACCAACACUGACACUGAGGCACGAAAGCGUGGGGAGCAAACAGGAUUAGAUACCCUGGUAGUCCACGCCCUAAACGAUGCGAACUGGNUGUUGGGUGCAAUUUGGCACGCAGUAUCGAAGCUAACGCGUUAAGUUCGCCGCCUGGGAGUANNNCGCAGACUG